UACGUAGGUGGCGAGCGUUGUCCGGAUUUAUUGGGCGUAAAGAGCCCGCAGGCGGUUUGUUAAGUUUCAGGUGAAAUCUCCUGGCUCAACUGGGAGGGGUCCUGGAAAACUGGCAGACUUGAGGCAGGGAGAGGGAUGUGGAAUUCCCGGUGUAGUGGUGAAAUGCGUAGAUAUCGGGAGGAACACCAGUGGCGAAGGCGGCAUCCUGGCCCUGUCCUGACGCUCAGGGGCGAAAGCGUGGGGAGCAAACCGG
RNAcentral lists this ribosomal RNA (253 nucleotides) under uncultured bacterium. RNAcentral's name for it is "partial 16S ribosomal RNA". It matches the Rfam family "Bacterial small subunit ribosomal RNA", at positions 524 to 776 of the family's 1533-position model. The record is from RNAcentral.